Molecule: microRNA precursor, 122 nt
Filed under: Myotis lucifugus (little brown bat)
Lineage: Eukaryota; Metazoa; Chordata; Mammalia; Chiroptera; Vespertilionidae
Description: miRNA (ENSMLUG00000021317.1)
Rfam family: mir-1302 microRNA precursor family (bases 34-85)
Source: RNAcentral
GUUAAAUCUGAAAUAAGGUAAACCACAAAUAAUUUCCUAAUAUAAGUAUAUCCCAUGCAUUAUUUAGGACAUACUUAUACUAAAACUGUGGUUUAUCUGAAAUUCAAAUUUCACUGAUCAUC